Molecule: ribosomal RNA, 460 nt
Filed under: uncultured bacterium
Lineage: Bacteria
Description: partial 16S ribosomal RNA
Rfam family: Bacterial small subunit ribosomal RNA
Source: RNAcentral
CCUACGGGAGGCAGCAGUGAGGAAUAUUGGUCAAUGGACGAGAGUCUGAACCAGCCAAGUAGCGUGAAGGAUGACUGCCCUAUGGGUUGUAAACUUCUUUUAUAUGGGAAUAAAACGUUCCACGUGUGGGAUUUUGUAUGUACCAUAUGAAUAAGGAUCGUCUAACUCCGUGCCAGCAGCCGCGGUAAUACGGAGGAUCCGAGCGUUAUCCGGAUUUAUUGGGUUUAAAGGGAGCGUAGGUGGAUUGUUAAGUCAGUUGUGAAAGUUUGCGGCUCAACCGUAAAAUUGCAGUUGAAACUGGCAGUCUUGAGUACAGUAGAGGUGGGCGGAAUUCGUGGUGUAGCGGUGAAAUGCUUAGAUAUCACGAAGAACUCCGAUUGCGAAGGCAGUUCACUGGACUGCAACUGACACUGAGGCUCGAAAGUGUGGGUAUCAAACAGGAUUAGAUACCCGUGUAGUC